This is a small nucleolar RNA of Apodemus sylvaticus (European woodmouse), 129 nucleotides long. RefSeq annotates it as small nucleolar RNA SNORA17. Lineage: Eukaryota; Metazoa; Chordata; Mammalia; Rodentia; Muridae. The record is from RefSeq and is a predicted model, not a curated record. The transcript has a single exon.
CCUGCCCCUAAAAGUAUUGCAGGUGUGGCUACUGGGUCACAUGGCUGUCAGAUGUCAGAGAAGAGAGAGGGUAUGUCUUCCCUCUGUGUUCUGACCUGUGACCAUCUGAGUGAUCAGUAGCCUGACCAU